RNAcentral lists this ribosomal RNA (253 nucleotides) under uncultured bacterium. Its description in RNAcentral is "partial 16S ribosomal RNA". It matches the Rfam family "Bacterial small subunit ribosomal RNA", at positions 524 to 776 of the family's 1533-position model. The record is from RNAcentral.
UACGAAGGUGGCAAGCGUUGUUCGGAUUUACUGGGCGUACAGGGAGCGUAGGCGGUUGGAUAAGCCCUCCGUGAAAUCUCCAGGCUUAACCUGGAAAGUGCAGAGGGGACUGUUCAGCUAGAGGAUGGGAGAGGAGCGCGGAAUUCCCGGUGUAGCGGUGAAAUGCAUAGAGAUCGGGAGGAAGGCCGGUGGCGAAGGCGGCGCUCUGGAACAUUUCUGACGCUGAGGCUCGAAAGCGUGGGGAGCAAACAGG